RNAcentral lists this ribosomal RNA (510 nucleotides) under uncultured bacterium. Its description in RNAcentral is "partial 16S ribosomal RNA". It matches the Rfam family "Bacterial small subunit ribosomal RNA", at positions 28 to 507 of the family's 1533-position model. The record is from RNAcentral.
GACGAACGCUGGCGGCGUGCUUAACACAUGCAAGUCGAACGAAGAGCGAUGGACGCUUGCUUCUAUCAAUCUUAGUGGCGAACGGGUGAGUAACGCGUAAUCAACCUGCCCUUCAGAGGGGGACAACAGUUGGAAACGACUGCUAAUACCGCAUACGAUCUAAUCUCGGCAUCGAGGAUAGAUGAAAGGUGGCCUCUACAUGUAAGCUAUCACUGAAGGAGGGGAUUGCGUCUGAUUAGCUAGUUGGAGGGGUAACGGCCCACCAAGGCGAUGAUCAGUAGCCGGUCUGAGAGGAUGAACGGCCACAUUGGGACUGAGACACGGCCCAGACUCCUACGGGAGGCAGCAGUGGGGAAUCCUCCGCAAUGGACGAAAGUCUGACGGAGCAACGCCGCGUGAGCGAUGACGGCCUUCGGGUUGUAAAGCUCUGUUAAUCGGGACGAAAGGCCUUCUUGCGAAUAGUGAGAAGGAUUGACGGUACCGGAAUAGAAAGCCACGGCUAACUACGUG